UACGUAGGUGGCAAGCGUUGUCCGGAUUUACUGGGCGUAAAGAGCUCGCAGGCGGUCGUGCAAGUCGCGUGUGAAAGCCCCCGGCUCAACUGGGGAGGGUCACGCGAUACUGAUCGACUGGAAGGCAGGAGAGGGUAGUGGAAUUCCCGGUGUAGUGGUGAAAUGCGUAGAUAUCGGGAGGAACACCAGUGGCGAAGGCGACUCCCUGGCCUGAUCUUGACGCUGAGGCGCGAAAGCAUGGGGAGCAAACAGG
This 253-nucleotide ribosomal RNA is filed under the name uncultured bacterium. Its description in RNAcentral is "partial 16S ribosomal RNA". It matches the Rfam family "Bacterial small subunit ribosomal RNA", at positions 524 to 776 of the family's 1533-position model. The record is from RNAcentral.